UCUCACUUUAUGAACAAAGGGAAUUUCUUUCUGACAUUUGCACGCAGAACCCCAGCUCCAGCAGGAGGUAAAAUCUGUGAUGCUGUAUGUCUGAUAUUGGCCUUAGGAAACUUUAUAUCAAAUGUUUCAGAUAUUCACUCUGCUUUUGUUGGGAAGUAAAUUGGUUUUGUAUUUUAACAGGGUAGCAUGCAAGGUGAGGGACAUGAAGACGAUUAGUCUUCAGUGGAACAAGGAGAUCUCACCACCUGUUUCUGUGUUGAAUCAGGCUGUCUUAGAGAAGGGAACUGAGUAUCAGACUGUGGCCUUCAUCUCAAAGAGCAUGUUAUUUCUGAAGGCAACAGAUGAAAGCAGAAGUCUUUUCUGUGACAAAGAUGAUCUUUUUACUAGUGCAAGUACCUGCAAAUGGGGGAAAAAAGUAAUUUAUAAAGGCCUUUCUUCUAUUUCUCAGUGGUUUUGUGUUGAAGGGGAGCACUCUACAUGUCAGACUAAAGUGGGUUGUUCACAUUGUUCAAUGUGACAGCGGUGAUAAAGAAUCCAUCUGAGGCAAUGUGUUGUCCAAGCACUGGUUGUUCUUACAGCAUAUUCAUGUGUUUGAGAAGUGGAUGACAGAUGGAUGACUGACUAAGAAACAAAAAGCCCUUGUGGAUUUUACUGGGUUUGGGAUUAGACUGGGAAGGUGUGGCUGUAACACCUCUUAUCGAUAAGCACAUGAACGAUGUUGCUUAUCAGCAUGUCUGAGAGUACCAACACAGACAGAAACAUUUUU
Molecule: long non-coding RNA, 766 nt
Organism: Pezoporus flaviventris
Lineage: Eukaryota; Metazoa; Chordata; Aves; Psittaciformes; Psittacidae
Exons: 4
Source: RefSeq, a predicted model, not a curated record